UACGAAGGGGGCGAGCGUUGUUCGGAAUUACUGGGCGUAAAGGGCGCGUAGGCGGCCGAUCAAGUCAGAUGUGAAAGUCCUGGGCUUAACCUGGGGACUGCAUUUGAUACUGAUUGGCUUGAAUUCGGGAGAGGAUAGCGGAAUUCCCAGUGUAGAGGUGAAAUUCGUAGAUAUUGGGAAGAACACCGGUGGCGAAGGCGGCUAUCUAGACCGACAUUGACGCUGAGGCGCGAAAGCGUGGGGAGCAAACAGG
This 253-nucleotide ribosomal RNA is filed under the name uncultured bacterium. Its description in RNAcentral is "partial 16S ribosomal RNA". It matches the Rfam family "Bacterial small subunit ribosomal RNA", at positions 524 to 776 of the family's 1533-position model. The record is from RNAcentral.